ACCCAAUCGUUGGACUGCGGGAGAUACUGCUGGGCUAGGGGGCGGGAGAAGCCGACGGUAUUCUCGGGGUAGGGGUGAAAUCCUAUAAUCCCGGGAGGACCACCAGUGGCGAAGGCGGUCGGCUAGAACGCGCUCGACGGUGAUGGACGAAAGCUGGGGGAGCGAACCGGAUUAGAUACCCGGGUAGUCCCAGCUGUAAACGAUGCGGGCUAGGUGUUGGGGGGGCUACGAGCCUCUUCAGUGCCGCAACGAAGGCAUUAAGCCCGCCGCCUGGGGAGUACGGCCGCAAGGCUGAAACUUAAAGGAAUUGGCGGGGGAGCACCACAAGGGGUGAAGCUUGCGGUUUAAUUGGAGUCAACGCCGGGAACCUUACCGGGGGCGACAGCAGAAUGAAGGCCAGAUUGAAGGUCUUGCUAGAUGAGCUGAGAGGAGGUGCAUGGCCGUCGCCAGUUCGUGCCGUGAGGUGUCCUGUUAAGUCAGGCAACGAUCGAGACCCGCACCCCCUGUUGCCAGCGGAUCCCGCUGGGAUGCUGGGCACACUGGGGGGACCGCCGCCGAUAAGGUGGAGGAAGGAGCGGGCCACGGCAGGUCAGUAUGCCCCGAAUCCCCCGGGCCACACGCGAGCUGCAAUGGCUGGGACAAUGAGUUUCGACCCCGAGAGGGAGAGACAAUCCCGAAACCCAGCCUCAGUUGGGAUCGAGGGCUGCAACCCGCCCUCGU
This 720-nucleotide ribosomal RNA is filed under the name uncultured crenarchaeote. Its description in RNAcentral is "bacterial SSU rRNA". It matches the Rfam family "Archaeal small subunit ribosomal RNA", at positions 557 to 1277 of the family's 1478-position model. Lineage: Archaea; Thermoproteati; Thermoproteota. The record is from RNAcentral.